AACGUAGGUUCCGAGCGUUAUCCGGAUUUACUGGGCGUAAAGCGCGUUCAGGCGGUUUGGCAAGUCGGGCAUGAAAUCCUUCGGCUCAACCGGGGGAGGUUGUCCGAUACUGCUGAGCUGGAGGGCAGUAGAGGGUGGUGGAAUUCCGGGUGUAGUGGUGAAAUGCGUAGAGAUCCGGAGGAACACCAGUGGCGAAAGCGGCCACCUGGACUGCACCUGACGCUGAAACGCGAAAGCUAGGGGAGCGAACGGG
Molecule: ribosomal RNA, 253 nt
Filed under: uncultured bacterium
Lineage: Bacteria
Description: partial 16S ribosomal RNA
Rfam family: Bacterial small subunit ribosomal RNA
Source: RNAcentral